This is a long non-coding RNA of Gopherus agassizii (Agassiz's desert tortoise), 2410 nucleotides long. The record is from Ensembl. NCBI's taxonomy places the organism in Eukaryota, Metazoa, Chordata, Testudines, Testudinidae.
UAUGAGUUGCUAGUAGCAUUGAGGAGAGUGCCUAAUUAGAGAUGUCCUCCUGCUUCCUCCAUAUCUGCCUCCUGACCCCCUGGACUUGGUCCCAAUUCUCCUUCAGUUGUGGUUGACUAUUGUUUGUUGAAAACCAUCUACAAGCACUAUUUUCUGGACUGCAUAACUGUAUUGUGCCUCUGUUAAGCAAUAUGCGGUGCUACAUGGCCUGGGAAACACAGUGGCCACAACAAUACAUGCCAUGGCACCCAGAUACCACACUGAUGGGCAUAAUAUAGCAAUGUGACUGGAACAGAACUUUAUGCAAAGAUCAAUACUGUUUUUAAAAAAUCAGCAUAUAAAGAAUGAAGGCCUGAUUGUCCAAUCCAUUUUACACCAGUGUAACUCUACUUCUUUUGUAUGGCAUCUAUGAAAAUAAAGGAGGAUAAGCUCCUUGUAUAAUCCAGUCCUGAUCCUCUCGGAUAAAUCAGUGUCAUUCCCUUGCUCUUGCUUCUCUGAUGAAUGACUGUCCCCAGGACAGUCUGUAUAGCCCAUUUCAAAGCUUUCACACUGCAGUGUUCGAGCUCUUCAAGCUUACCUUAGGCCCCGGGGACUUCUCAGAGGAUAAGGAUUUCAAGUACCGUGAGGUUUUCAUGCUUCUCCUCAUCUUCAGCAACCUUUCAGAAGUGAAAGCCAUGACCGCACUGGAUCUGGAAAUAAGUUUGCCAGUGUUCUGGAGAAAAUGGCUCCAAAGAAAAAAAAAUUGGCCCAGUACACUAAUUGGAUAUACCUGAUAAAAAGGAAGGUUCAAGGAGAGAUGUGGUGGGAAAAAGGGAACCUGAAGAAAGCAACACAUCAGUAGAUUAAUCUGAUGUCUGAAGAGAUGUUGGUUUCUUCAGUUCUUGUUGUAUGUAUAUACUCUUGUACUGCAAGUCAGAUUCCUUCUGCUUUUGCUUUGAACUGUAAAGUGGAAAGUUGCAAGUAAAUAUACUAUUUACUUCUCAAAGUAGAUAUAGAUAUUUAUACUCUUCUUUUCUCUUGCAAAUUGUAUUAUGUCAGCACAGAUAAAUAGGAACCUGACUAACUGUUGUGCAAACCAUAUCCUCCUAUAUUUUAUAUCUAUAUUAGCGUAAUGCACGUUAAUUUUUGGUGAGUGAUUGUUUCUCAGGGGAGUUGAUGAUAGAUUCCAUCCAAUAACCAAAACACAAUGAAUGCCGUAAUUUUGGACAUUAUAACAAUUAAGAUAAAAUCUAUUUAUCAGUAAAACCAUAUUUCUAUAUCAGUGCUACAGACCAUGUGAUGACUGAAAACUUAUAUCGAGCAACCUGAGUAGCUGUGUUAGUAGCUGUGACAGUCUCUCUCCCAGGCAAGCCCCACAGGAGAAGGAUGCUAUGGGGCAUUUCACCAAGCAGUUGAGCCUCCAAAAGAUCAGUUAGGAUUAGAGAUGGGGAGCAAGCAGUGAAAUCCUACAGAGAGUUUUCUGUGUGUUGUUUGGGGCCAGCUAGGAAGCCUCAGUGUCUAGGCUGUUUGUAGUUUUUCCACUGGGAGGUGAGGAAGUUUUUCUUCUUGUGGGCAAAAAUACUCAGUUUAUUUCCUGCUUUUAACCAGAAUGUGUGAAGUACUGUACAAAGCUCAAGAGAGAGCCUUCUAGUGUGGUUGAUUGGAGGUAGAUAUCUAACCAGUAAUGACCAAUUUAUGGAAACAUGGUCUUAACUAACAAGCUGUUUACUUAGCAUAUUUAAGGAAUCAUUACAUACAGUAACUUCCUCAGCCCUUUUGCCAUAAUGCUCUGUUCUCAUAAAGAGCUCCAAGUCCAUUGUCUGUGAACAUAGACAAUACACUUAAAAACAAUUAUAAUUAACCUUCUUCUUAAGAACAAUUAUAUUCAACAACAAACAAAAAAAACUAAACAGACUUCCUUGCCCCAGAGUCGUCAGGCUCAUAAUCAUGUUCCAAAAUGGGUUUUAACUUGGCUUCUUCUGGUUGUUUCUGUGCCUCCUCUCGCCUGCUCCCAUCUCUCAAAAGUGGAACCAAGGUCUUCCAGUUUUUCCCUGAAACUUAUAAGCAAAGUGGCUAUUAAUGUUUUUUUCCUAUAGAAACAGACCAGAAUAUUCCUGGUUUCCAACACAGAGGAAAGCUGAUAUGAUAUAAAGCACAAGUGAAGAUUUUAUUCUUUUAAGAGUUUUAUUCUUCUGUCAGUUUUCCAUUCUUUUAAGCUGACAAGUACACCCACUGAUCUAUGAACUGGGGCUCUUCUGUGCUGACUAGUGAGCUACUGCACUGUGGGGUUGGGGCAUGACAGGGUGACUCCUGUGGUACACUGCUGCCAAGGUGUGCCGGUCAUUACCAUAGAAACAUCCAGAGUGAGGAACUGGAGGGAGCUAGAGAAUUCCAAAGAAUAAAACUGCAAAAUGAAUAAAGGGUUAGUUCA